CGGGAGGCUGAGGCAGGAGAAUCGCUUGAACCUGGGAGGCUGAGGUUGUGGUGAGCUGAGGUCGUGCCAUUGCACUCCAGCCUGGGCAACAAGAGCGAAACUCCGUCUCAAAAAAAAAAAAAAAAACCCCACACAUCAUGUUCCUCUCUCAGAGCAUCUUGACAGGAGGGAGCCAUCUCUGUGGGACCCGCCUCUGCCAUGAAAUUGCCCAUGCCUGGUUUGGCUUAGCCAUCGGGGCCCGAGACUGGACGGAGGAGUGGCUGAGUGAAGGCUUCGCCACUCAUUUGGAGGAUGUGUUUUGGGCCACAGCACAGCAGCUGGCCCCCCAUGAGGCCUGGGAGCAGCAGGAGCUGAGGGCUUGUCUGCGUUGGCGUCGCCUCCAGGACGAGAUGCAAUGCUCCCCCGAGGAGAUGCAGGUGUUAAGCUCUUAAGAACUUCCAGUCCUCUGGAAUCUGCUUUCUGCUCUCACCAGUAUAGGAAAACUGUUUUUUCCUUGGCUCAUUGUGCCCUGACAGUCACCAGAUUAUGGAAGCAAAUUUUAGUUUUAAUCUUAUGAGACUCCUCUGCUUUGUUUGGUACUGUUGACAGCUCUUCUGGAAGUUUCUGUCACUGGCUUUUGUGGCAGUCCCUCGCCUGAUUCUUCUUGCCCUCUGUCAUUCCUCCUCCAUCUCCUUCGGGGUCUGCCCUUUGCCUCCCUGUAUCUUCAGAGCUGGUCUUCCUCGGGGCCUCCACACUUGGCUGCGUGUCCUCCCAGAGUGGUCUCAUCUAAACCCCCAUCUUAGGUGGGAGUCUCCAGGUGCAGACCCUGAUGCAAGGUGUAUGGGAAAGAGAUUUAUUAGGAAUUGUUCUGAUAUGGGUUGGCUGUGUGUCCCCACCCAAAUCUCAUGUUGAAUUGUAAUCCCCAGUGUUGGAGGUGGGGCCUGGCGGGAGGUGACUGGAUCACAGAGGUGGUUUGUCAUGGUUUAACACCAUCCCCCCUUGGUGCUGUGGUCACAAUAGUGAGUGAGUUCUCAUGAGCUCUGGUUAUUUAAAAGUGUGUGGCACCUUCCUCCACCAACUGUCUCCCUCCUGCCCCAGCCAUGUAAGACGUCCUGCUUCCGCUUUGCCUGCUGCCAUAAUUGUAAGUUUCCUGAGGCCUCCCCAGGAGCUGAGCAGAUGACAGCAUCAUGCUUCCUGUACAACCUGCGGAACCGUGAGCCAAUUAAACCUCUUUUCUUUAUAAAUUA
This 1226-nucleotide small RNA is filed under the name Pongo abelii (Sumatran orangutan). Its description in RNAcentral is "processed transcript". Lineage: Eukaryota; Metazoa; Chordata; Mammalia; Primates; Hominidae. The record is from RNAcentral.